AGCGAACGCUGGUGGCAGGCCUAACACAUGCAAGUCGAACGAACUCUUCGGAGUUAGUGGCGGACGGGUGAGUAACACGUGGGAACGUGCCUUUUGGUUCGGAAUAACUCAGGGAAACUUGUGCUAAUACCGAAUGUGCCCUUCGGGGGAAAGAUUUAUCGCCAUUAGAGCGGCCCGCGUCUGAUUAGCUAGUUGGUGAGGUAACAGCUCACCAAGGCGACGAUCAGUAGCUGGUCUGAGAGGAUGACCAGCCACACUGGGACUGAGACACGGCCCAGACUCCUACGGGAGGCAGCAGUGGGGAAUCUUGCGCAAUGGGCGAAAGCCUGACGCAGCCAUGCCGCGUGAAUGAUGAAGGUCUUAGGAUUGUAAAAUUCUUUCACCGGGGACGAUAAUGACGGUACCCGGAGAAGAAGCCCCGGCUAACUUCGUG
This 433-nucleotide ribosomal RNA is filed under the name uncultured bacterium. Its description in RNAcentral is "partial 16S ribosomal RNA". It matches the Rfam family "Bacterial small subunit ribosomal RNA", at positions 29 to 507 of the family's 1533-position model. The record is from RNAcentral.